AUUUUGUAUAUGUUCACAAGAAUUUUAAAAUUCUAUAUAUUAUCUCUGCAGAUUUAAAGAUUUGAACAGUAAAGAUAAUAGUUUAUUCUUAUGUUUGCUAUGGUGAAAAGUACAUAAUGUGUUUUAAAAUUUUGGGUUAUCUUGUUUACCGGAUUAUCUCUGCCCCACAGCGCGGAUUAUUGAUAUCCAGGGAUCGUUUAAACAAGCGUGAAAAUUCCAUAUGAGAAGGAGGUUAUAAAACAGUUUCUUCCGUAAAAAUCGGGCUAAUUGACUCCAUUUUCUCAUCUUUUAAUAUAAUUACGUUCCGCUAGAAAAUUCCCCGUUGGGUGACUUCGACGAUAACAGCAACAACAUAACCCAAUUUUGUUGCGGUAGAGAUGGCAACAAUUAAAUUUUAGAACGGUUCGACUCCACUCGGGAAUCACUUGUACUACUGGGUCUCGCCUAAUCGCGCAUGCGUCUCAUAUAUCGUUUAUCCUAUGUGACAAUUAAUGCGUUACCUGAUUGACUCACAUGAGCAACAGUGCGCACUGAGCUGAGGAAGUGUUUGGUGUUUGCGGAAGCCGAAGGACAACGAGCGUGGGAAAGAACAACCAGAUGGCUUAUAAGCUAACCUUAUAACGGAAACUAUUGUCAGUAGGGCUCCAUAAUAAUAAUUAGAAAGUGCGCAAGUUAUGCGCCCAAUUGUAUGUAAAUUGUGUAAGAUUUUCUAGCCCAUUUUUUCACCCUCCACAACAGACUAACUCUAGUAUAGUACAAAAUCAGUACUAUUGUCCAUGUUGAGGCUGAGGUCACGUCUUGUAGGUGGGGAGACUGUCACAAUGGAGAUUGCAGACCGCUUGUCUUGCCUGAGGAUAAGGUUGCAAAAAUUUUUUUUUCCUGUCUCUCUCUCCUUUUUCUUUUGCACUACUAGCAAACAAGUACGUCCACCAUUAAUAUUUUUAUUGUUAAUUCUAAGGAUGAAAUAUAUUUUUAUAAUUAUAACCAUUUCUUCUGUAAUGAUUGGGAUGUGCAUGUAAACUGUCU
Molecule: long non-coding RNA, 1026 nt
Filed under: Androctonus crassicauda
Lineage: Eukaryota; Metazoa; Arthropoda; Arachnida; Scorpiones; Buthidae
Source: RNAcentral